AACAGCGCCACUGGUGCAGCG
This 21-nucleotide unclassified non-coding RNA is filed under the name Chlamydomonas reinhardtii. Its description in RNAcentral is "small RNA Cre_0048". The record is from RNAcentral. Lineage: Eukaryota; Viridiplantae; Chlorophyta; Chlorophyceae; Chlamydomonadales; Chlamydomonadaceae.